AGUGCACACAAAACCCAAAGGACAUUAUUUUGAUUAAUAAAAUGUUCUUGUCAUGUGUGCAGAUAUCAUAUGUACCAUGUCGCCUUUCAGGAGCUGAAGUGCUUUUGAAAGUGAAACUGAAGGUCCUACAUAC
This 133-nucleotide small nucleolar RNA is filed under the name Sphenodon punctatus (tuatara). Its description in RNAcentral is "Small nucleolar RNA SNORA68 (ENSSPUG00000009800.1)". It matches the Rfam family "Small nucleolar RNA SNORA68". From Rfam's summary of the family: U68 is a member of the H/ACA class of small nucleolar RNAs (snoRNAs) which act as guides in the the modification of uridines to pseudouridines. The record is from Rfam by way of RNAcentral. Lineage: Eukaryota; Metazoa; Chordata; Lepidosauria; Sphenodontia; Sphenodontidae.